This 427-nucleotide ribosomal RNA is filed under the name uncultured beta proteobacterium. RNAcentral's name for it is "bacterial SSU rRNA". It matches the Rfam family "Bacterial small subunit ribosomal RNA", at positions 355 to 774 of the family's 1533-position model. The record is from RNAcentral. Lineage: Bacteria; Pseudomonadati; Pseudomonadota; Betaproteobacteria.
UGGGGAAUUUUGGACAAUGGGCGAAAGCCUGAUCCAGCCAUGCCGCGUGAGUGAAGAAGGCUUUCGGGUUGUAAAGCUCUUUUAGUCGGAAAGAAAGAGUUGCAAUGAAUAAUUGAGAUUUAUGACGGUACCGACAGAAAAAGCACCGGCUAACUACGUGCCAGCAGCCGCGGUAAUACGAAGGGUGCGAGCGUUAAUCGGAAUUACUGGGCGUAAAGGGUGCGCAGGCGGUCUUGCAAGUCAGAUGUGAAAGCCCCGGGCUUAACCUGGGGAUUGCGUUUGAAACUGCAAGUCUAGAGUGCAGCAGAGGGGAGUGGAAUUCCAUGUGUAGCAGUGAAAUGCGUAGAGAUUUGGAAGAACACCGAUGGCGAAGGCAGCUCCCUGGGUUGACACUGACGCUCAUGCACGAAAGCGUGGGGAGCAAACA